GUCUACGACCGUAUCACCCUGAACGUGCCCGAUCUCGUCUGAUCUCGGAAGCUAAGCAGGGUCAGGCCUGGUUAGUACUUGGAUGAGAGAGAGGGGGAGAGGGGAGGUGAGAGA
This 114-nucleotide ribosomal RNA is filed under the name Panthera pardus (leopard). The record is from RNAcentral. Lineage: Eukaryota; Metazoa; Chordata; Mammalia; Carnivora; Felidae.